AGCUAUAAGUUCUCUGUAUCGCAGCUAACGCAAUAAGCACUCCGCCUGGGGAGUACGACCGCAAGGYUGAAACUCAAAGGAAUUGACGGGGGCCCGCACAAGCGGUGGAGCAUGUGRUUUAAUUCGAAGCAACGCGAAGAACCUUACCAGGUCWUGACAUACUCGUGCUAUUCCUAGAGAUAGGAAGUUCCUUCGGGACACGGGAUACAGGUGGUGCAUGGUUGUCGUCAGCUCGUGUCGUGAGAUGUUGGGUUAAGUCCCGCAACGAGCGCAACCCCUAUUGUUAGUUGCCAUCAUUAAGUUGGGCACUCUAACGAGACUGCCGGUGAUAAACCGGAGGAAGGUGGGGAUGACGUCAAAUCAUCAUGCCCCUUAUGACCUGGGCUACACACGUGCUACAAUGGAUGGUACAACGAGUCGCGAGACAGUGAUGUUUAGCUAAUCUCUUAAAACCAUUCUCAGUUCGGAUUGUAGGCUGCAACUCGCCUACAUGAAGUCGGAAUCGCUAGUAAUCGCGGAUCAGCACGCCGCGGUGAAUACGUUCCCGGGCCUUGUACACACCGCCCGUCACACCACGGGAGUUGGGAGUACCCGAAGUAGGUUGCCUAACCGC
This 613-nucleotide ribosomal RNA is filed under the name Lactococcus lactis. Its description in RNAcentral is "bacterial SSU rRNA". Lineage: Bacteria; Bacillati; Bacillota; Bacilli; Lactobacillales; Streptococcaceae. The record is from RNAcentral.